UUGAGGAAGAUAAUGACGGUACUCAACAAGGAAGUGACGGCUAACUACGUGCCAGCAGCCGCGGUAAAACGUAGGUCACAAGCGUUGUCCGGAAUUACUGGGUGUAAAGGGAGCGCAGGCGGGAGAACAAGUUGGAAGUGAAAUCCAUGGGCUCAACCCAUGAACUGCUUUCAAAACUGUUUUUCUUGAGUAGUGCAGAGGUAGGCGGAAUUCCCGGUGUAGCGGUGGAAUGCGUAGAUAUCGGGAGGAACACCAGUGGCGAAGGCGGCCUACUGGGCACCAACUGACGCUGAGGCUCGAAAGUGUGGGUAGCAAACAGGAUUAGAUACCCUGGUAGUCCACACCGUAAACGAUGAUUACUAGGUGUUGGAGGAUUGACCCCUUCAGUGCCGCAGUUAACACAAUAAGUAAUCCACCUGGGGAGUACGACCGCAAGGUUGAAACUCAAAGGAAUUGACGGGGGCCCGCACAAGCAGUGGAGUAUGUGGUUUAAUUCGACGCAACGCGAAGAACCUUACCAAGUCUUGACAUCCCUUGACGAUGCUGGAAACAGUAUUUCUCUUCGGAGCAAGGAGACAGGUGGUGCAUGGUUGUCGUCAGCUCGUGUCGUGAGAUGUUGGGUUAAGUCCCGCAACGAGCGCAACCCUUAUGGUCAGUUACUACGCAAGAGGACUCUGGCCAGACUGC
Molecule: ribosomal RNA, 687 nt
Filed under: Faecalibacterium prausnitzii
Lineage: Bacteria; Bacillati; Bacillota; Clostridia; Eubacteriales; Oscillospiraceae
Description: bacterial SSU rRNA
Rfam family: Bacterial small subunit ribosomal RNA
Source: RNAcentral